AUACGUAGGGUGCGAGCGUUGUCCGGAAUUACUGGGCGUAAAGAGCUCGUAGGUGGUUUGUCGCGUCGUCUGUGAAAUUCCGGGGCUUAACUCCGGGCGUGCAGGCGAUACGGGCAUAACUUGAGUACUGUAGGGGAGACUGGAAUUCCUGGUGUAGCGGUGAAAUGCGCAGAUAUCAGGAGGAACACCGGUGGCGAAGGCGGGUCUCUGGGCAGUAACUGUCGCUGAGGAGCGAAAGCAUGGGUAGCGAACAGGAUUAGAUACCCUGGUAGUCCACGCCGUAAACGGUGGGCGCUAGGUGUAGGGGUCUUCCACGACUUCUGUGCCGUAGCUAACGCAUUAAGCGCCCCGCCUGGGGAGUACGGCCGCAAGGCUAAAACUCAAAUGAAUUGACGGGG
Molecule: ribosomal RNA, 398 nt
Filed under: uncultured bacterium
Lineage: Bacteria
Description: partial 16S ribosomal RNA
Rfam family: Bacterial small subunit ribosomal RNA
Source: RNAcentral